This 466-nucleotide ribosomal RNA is filed under the name uncultured bacterium. RNAcentral's name for it is "partial 16S ribosomal RNA". It matches the Rfam family "Bacterial small subunit ribosomal RNA", at positions 29 to 506 of the family's 1533-position model. The record is from RNAcentral.
ACGAACGCUGGCGGCGUGCUUAACACAUGCAAGUCGCACGGAAAGGCCCUGCUUUUGUGGGGUGCUCGAGUGGCGAACGGGUGAGUAACACGUGAGUAACCUGCCCUUGACUUUGGGAUAACUUCAGGAAACUGGGGCUAAUACCGGAUAGGAGCUCCUGCUGCAUGGUGGGGGUUGGAAAGUUUCGGCGGUUGGGGAUGGACUCGCGGCUUAUCAGCUUGUUGGUGGGGUAGUGGCUUACCAAGGCUUUGACGGGUAGCCGGCCUGAGAGGGUGACCGGCCACAUUGGGACUGAGAUACGGCCCAGACUCCUACGGGAGGCAACAGUGGGGAAUAUUGCACAAUGGGCGGAAGCCUGAUGCAGCAACGCCGCGUGCGGGAUGACGGCCUUCGGGUUGUAAACCGCUUUCGCCUGUGACGAAGCGUGAGUGACGGUAAUGGGUAAAGAAGCACCGGCUAACUACGU